Pseudomonas putida is the source of this 125-nucleotide non-coding RNA. The record is from Rfam. Lineage: Bacteria; Pseudomonadati; Pseudomonadota; Gammaproteobacteria; Pseudomonadales; Pseudomonadaceae.
UCUUAAUACAGGGCUUGUCCCUGGCCUGUUGGGAACCUUCGGGUUUCCGUUGAUUUGGAGAAAGCCAAAUGGCACUCAGCGUUGAAGAAAAAGCUCAGAUCGUUGCCGACUAUCAGCAAGCCGCC